UGAGGAAUAUUGGGCAAUGCCCGCAAGGGUGACCCAGCAACGCCGCGUGGAGGAUGAAUGUCGUAAGAUUGUAAACUCCUGUUAGAGGGGAAGAAUAGUACCGGUUGGACCGGUAUAUGACUGUACCCUCAGAGAAAGCCCCGGCUAACUCCGUGCCAGCAGCCGCGGUAAUACGUAGGGGGCAAGCGUUGUCCGGAUUUACUGGGGGUAAAGGGCGCGCAGGCGGGAUAAAAAGUCAGUGGUGAAGUCCUACAGCUUAACUGUAGAACUGCCUUUGAUACUUUUAUUCUUGAGUU
RNAcentral lists this ribosomal RNA (296 nucleotides) under uncultured bacterium. RNAcentral's name for it is "partial 16S ribosomal RNA". It matches the Rfam family "Bacterial small subunit ribosomal RNA", at positions 355 to 648 of the family's 1533-position model. The record is from RNAcentral.